UUUUAUUCAUCAAAUUGCUCAUCCCAUGAAAGCUUCAGGAGGAGAUGUAACUAAUUUCAUGGGAGAACUACAUGGAGAUGGCCUCAGAGCAAUUCGCAGGACUGUUCUGAAUUGUCAAGAUCUGCCUUGGAUCCAGAAGACCCGGAAGCUUUACCAAACUUAUACAUGAAAUUUCCCCACAGACCCCAGCUCAGCCCCACCGACUUGGUAGUGACUCAUUUUUUUUUUUUUUCAGAUGACCAAUGAAAGGAUUGAUCUGCCUCUCCGAAGCCCUCAGAAAGAAUACCAAAAUUGUGGCUAGGUCUGAGAAAGUUUUUAUACAAUGUCCUGGGAUUGGUAAAUCCAUUGUAGCACUGGCUCAUCCGUCAAGGCUGACAUAUGGCAGGAGUGAAGAUGAUGACGAUGACGAUGAUGAUGAUAAGGGUAGUAAUGGGUUUCCCGUUAUCAAGCACCCACUGCAUGCCAAAAUAGAAAACAAAUUCUAAAAUUCUUAUGGAACCACAAGUUACCCAGAAACCAAAGCACUAUUGAACAAGAAGAACAAAGCUGGAAGCAUCACCCCUUCCUAAUUUGAAAAUAUGUUUCAAAGCUACAGGCAUUAAAACAAUACAGUACUGGCAUAAAGACAGACAUGUAGACCAAUGGAACAAACAGAAAGCCCAGGAAUAAACUUGUGAUUAUAUAGUCGAUUGAUACUUGACAAGG
Gorilla gorilla gorilla (western lowland gorilla) is the source of this 705-nucleotide long non-coding RNA. RefSeq lists it as uncharacterized. The transcript has 3 exons. NCBI's taxonomy places the organism in Eukaryota, Metazoa, Chordata, Mammalia, Primates, Hominidae. The record is from RefSeq and is a predicted model, not a curated record.